AGAAUGCAUAGAAAAUACAAGGGUAAGAAGAGGAAUCAUGUGGAAGAAGAGUAAACAUCUGAUGGUGUCCUGGGUAGCUGAAACUGUGGAAAGCAAAACCGUGGAUAAGGGGGAACUACUAUACUGAAAAUGUACAAAACAGAGAAGAUUUCAUUGAAGAAGUCUGCUGUUUCUGGAAUGGGAAAUUAAGAUAAAAAUUGAAGCUCUCAUCUUCUAUAACAUCAUUGGUUCUUUUGAAGCACAACUGGAACAGUUAUCGACUGUGAUUCUUGCUGGGACCAAUAACCUUCUACAAAUACCAACAUCAGUUUUUAUGAAAGGCAAAGAGCUGACAGGUUUACAGACUGCACCCUAACAUUAAGCUACCAGGAGAAACUUCCAAGUUACCCUCUUGUUACUUGUGCCCCAGAGGUGAACACUAUAAACUGCUACAGCAUGCAAUUUAGGGAGAGGUUCGUGAAGAAGUGAUUGGGAAAGAGAGCAAGUCUUGGUUGGACAGUGUGUCUGUUUUCAUGCUGCUGAUAAAGACAUACCUGAGACUGGGCAAUUUACAAAAGAAAGAGAUUUCUUGGACUUACAGUUCCACAUGGCCGGGGAGGCCUCACGAUCAUGGCAGAAGGCAAGGAGGAGCAAGUCACAUCUUAUGUGGAUGGCAGCAGGCAAAGAGAGAGCGAGCUUGUGCAAGGAGACUCCCAUUUUUAAAACCAUCAGAUCUCGUGAGACUUAUUCACUAUCAGGAGAACAGCAAGCUAAAUCAGUGUGAGACCAAGGACCCUGGGGCUCCUCCAGUCAUUGCAGCUGUAUCACAACUACCCUGACAGAUUUCUUGCUCAGGGCAAGCCACCUGCCAUGUCUUGAGAACACUCAAGCAGCACAUGGCGAGGAAUGGAGAUGGACAGACAUGGGCCAGCAAGAAACAGGCUUGCCAACAACAGCUUGCGUGAUCCUGAAAGUGGGUCCUCUAGCCCCAUGUGACUGUUGCCCUGGCCAACAACUUAACUGCAACCUCAAGAGAUACCUACCCUGAGUCAGAACCACCCAGUCAAACUACCCCUGGCAUCUUAACUCAGAGCCCCGUUGACUGGAGGAUGGCCAUUUGACAACACAUUAUUUCCUGAGGAAACUUUUGACUUCUGGUGACUUGGGCCCCAGGCAAGCUGGCUGAAUUUGCCAAGACCCGGCUUUGCCCUUGCAUGUGUGAAAAAUGGCCUCAAGUAUGACCCCAUGGCAAGAUGGAAAGAAACUGUGCUCUUGAAUAGCUUAGAGAUUCAGAGCCCCCCAACCAGCUUGAAACGCCCACCUCAAAACAAUGACAUGAGAAGAAACAAACCUCUAAUUUAAGCCACUGUCUUUUUAA
Molecule: long non-coding RNA, 1357 nt
Filed under: Homo sapiens (human)
Lineage: Eukaryota; Metazoa; Chordata; Mammalia; Primates; Hominidae
Description: long intergenic non-protein coding RNA 2889
Source: RNAcentral